ACUAGCUUGAAACUCAAAAGACUUGACAGUAUCUUAUACACACCUAGAGGAGCCUGCCCUAUAAUCGAUAACCCACGAUAUACCUUACCCGCCUUUGCCAAACCAGCCUAUAUACCUCCGUCGCCAGUCCGCCUGUCAACAGCCACCAAAGCGCGUACAACAGUUUUUAACUAACACGACAGGUCAAGGUGUAGCUAAUAGGCCGGCAAGUGGUGGGCUACAUUUUCUUUACAAGAAAGCACCAACGGGCCAUGAAAACCGCACAAAAAGUCGGAUUUAGCAGUAAGGUGGGCCAGCAAGCCCAUCUGAAGCACACCAUAAGAUAUGUACACACCGC
This 337-nucleotide ribosomal RNA is filed under the name Uroplatus finaritra. RNAcentral describes it as "partial small subunit ribosomal RNA". It matches the Rfam family "Bacterial small subunit ribosomal RNA", at positions 888 to 1393 of the family's 1533-position model. The record is from RNAcentral. Lineage: Eukaryota; Metazoa; Chordata; Lepidosauria; Squamata; Gekkonidae.